This 510-nucleotide ribosomal RNA is filed under the name uncultured bacterium. RNAcentral describes it as "partial 16S ribosomal RNA". It matches the Rfam family "Bacterial small subunit ribosomal RNA", at positions 28 to 507 of the family's 1533-position model. The record is from RNAcentral.
GACGAACGCUGGCGGCGUGCUUAACACAUGCAAGUCGAACGAAGAGCGAUGGAAGCUUGCUUCUAUCAAUCUUAGUGGCGAACGGGUGAGUAACGCGUAAUCAACCUGCCCUUCAGAGGGGGACAACAGUUGGAAACGACUGCUAAUACCGCAUACGAUCUAAUCUCGGCAUCGAGGAUAGAUGAAAGGUGGCCUCUACAUGUAAGCUAUCACUGAAGGAGGGGAUUGCGUCUGAUUAGCCAGUUGGAGGGGUAACGGCCCACCAAGGCGAUGAUCAGUAGCCGGUCUGAGAGGAUGAACGGCCACAUUGGGACUGAGACACGGCCCAGACUCCUACGGGAGGCAGCAGUGGGGAAUCUUCCGCAAUGGACGAAAGUCUGACGGAGCAACGCCGCGUGAGUGAUGACGGCCUUCGGGUUGUAAAGCUCUGUUAAUCGGGACGAAAGGCCUUCUUGCGAAUAGUGAGAAGGAUUGACGGUACCGGAAUAGAAAGCCACGGCUAACUACGUG